RNAcentral lists this transfer RNA (55 nucleotides) under Salganea raggei. RNAcentral describes it as "tRNA-Arg". The record is from RNAcentral. Lineage: Eukaryota; Metazoa; Arthropoda; Insecta; Blattodea; Blaberidae.
GAAUUUGAAGCAAUUAUGCAGUUAGUUUCGACCUAAUYMGUUUCGACCUAAUCCU